This 389-nucleotide ribosomal RNA is filed under the name uncultured bacterium. RNAcentral describes it as "bacterial SSU rRNA". It matches the Rfam family "Bacterial small subunit ribosomal RNA", at positions 28 to 420 of the family's 1533-position model. The record is from RNAcentral.
GACGAACGCUGGCGGCGUGCUUAACACAUGCAAGUCGAACGGAAAGGCCCUUCGGGGUACUCGAGUGGCGAACGGGUGAGUAACACGUGGGUGAUCUGCCCUGCACUUUGGGAUAAGCCUGGGAAACUGGGUCUAAUACCGAAUACACCUUGCUGGUCGCAUGAUCUGGUGGGGGAAAGCUUUUGCGGUGUGGGAUGGGCCCGCGGCCUAUCAGCUUGUUGGUGAGGUUAUGGCUACCAAGGCGACGACGGGUAGCCGGCCUGAGAGGGUGACCUGCCACACUGGGACUGAGAUACGGCCCAGACUCCUACGGGAGGCAGCAGUGGGGAAUCUUGCGCAAUGGGCGAAAGCCUGACGCAGCGACGCCGCGUGAGGGAUGACGGCCUGGU